RNAcentral lists this unclassified non-coding RNA (285 nucleotides) under plant metagenome. RNAcentral describes it as "partial contains small subunit ribosomal RNA, internal transcribed spacer 1, and 5.8S ribosomal RNA". The stretch from base 1 to 54 matches the Rfam family "Eukaryotic small subunit ribosomal RNA", at positions 1778 to 1831 of the family's 1831-position model. The record is from RNAcentral.
GGAAGUAGAAGUCGUAACAAGGUUUCCGUAGGUGAACCUGCGGAAGGAUCAUUAUUGCAUAACCGAGGUGCGAGGGCUGUCGCUGACCCGAAAGGUCGUGCACGCCCGAGUGCCCUCACACACAUCCAUCUCACCCCUAUGUGCACCACCGCGUGGGUCCCCCUUUGGCUUGUUCGGAGGGGGGCUUACGUUUUCACACAAACUUUGUAUGCAGUGUAGAAUGUAUUUUUUGUUUUUGCGAUCACGCAAUCAAUACAACUUUCAACAACGGAUCUCUUGGCUCUC